UUCCACCAUCUCGUGUCCCCC
This 21-nucleotide microRNA is filed under the name Asparagus officinalis (garden asparagus). Its description in RNAcentral is "aof-miR12138". Lineage: Eukaryota; Viridiplantae; Streptophyta; Magnoliopsida; Asparagales; Asparagaceae. The record is from miRBase by way of RNAcentral.